Molecule: ribosomal RNA, 504 nt
Filed under: uncultured bacterium
Lineage: Bacteria
Description: SSU rRNA
Rfam family: Bacterial small subunit ribosomal RNA
Source: RNAcentral
AGGACGAACGCUGGCGGCGCGCUUAACACAUGCAAGUCGAGCGAGAACCUGGCCUUCGGGCCUGGGGAAAGCGGCGAACGGGUGAGUAACACGUGGGUAACCCACCCUUGGUACUGGGAUAGCCCGGGGAAACCCGGAUUAAUACCGGAUGGCCCAACAGCUCUUAGGGGCGGUUGGAAAAGGUAGCUUCGGCCUCCGACCAAGGACGGGCCCGCGGCGGAUUAGCUUGUUGGUGGGGUAACGGCCUACCAAGGCGACGAUCCGUAGCUGGUCUGAGAGGACGAUCAGCCACACUGGGACUGAGACACGGCCCAGACUCCUACGGGAGGCAGCAGUGGGGAAUCUUGCGCAAUGGGCGAAAGCCUGACGCAGCGACGCCGCGUGGGGAAGAAGGCUUUCGGGUUGUAAACCCCUUUCAGGAAGGACGAAGCUACUCGGGUUAAUAGCCCAGAGGGUGACGGUACUUCCAGAAGAAGCCCCGGCUAACUACGUGCCAGCAGCCGC